AGGACGAACGCUGGCGGCGUGCUUAACACAUGCAAGUCGAGCGGUAAGGCCCUUUCGGGGGUACACGAGCGGCGAACGGGUGAGUAACACGUGAGCAAUCUGCCCUUCACUUCGGGAUAAGCCUCGGAAACGGGGUCUAAUACCGGAUAUGACCGCGCUACGCAUGUGGUGUGGUGGAAAGUUUUGGCGGUGGAGGAUGAGCUCGCGGCCUAUCAGCUUGUUGGUGGGGUAAUGGCCUACCAAGGCUUCGACGGGUAGCCGGCCUGAGAGGGUGACCGGCCACACUGGGACUGAGACACGGCCCAGACUCCUACGGGAGGCAGCAGUAGGGAAUAUUGGACAA
This 343-nucleotide ribosomal RNA is filed under the name uncultured soil bacterium. RNAcentral describes it as "bacterial SSU rRNA". It matches the Rfam family "Bacterial small subunit ribosomal RNA", at positions 26 to 371 of the family's 1533-position model. The record is from RNAcentral.